Argiope bruennichi is the source of this 2770-nucleotide long non-coding RNA. RefSeq lists it as uncharacterized. The transcript has 4 exons. The record is from RefSeq and is a predicted model, not a curated record. Lineage: Eukaryota; Metazoa; Arthropoda; Arachnida; Araneae; Araneidae.
AGCGACUGACUUUCCUCUUGACAAAAAUAUGGAUGGCAGCUGUCUGGAUGGGCAAGGAAUUUUUUCUCAGUUUCGUACAGAAGUAAUAUCGACUCGAUAACAUGACCUGUAUCCAUGCCAUUUUGCUUCAUAAAGCCACUCCGUCAACUACCAGUAGUGUUGCUUUCUGUUCCAGUCACACGUGUAUCUGCACCUAAUAGGCUUGAUGCGAGGAAGUAUUUAUUUCGGAUGAUGUUGAAGGUGAUAACAAAAUUCGAGGGCAAGUAAGUUCGCUAUUUAGAUUAAUAAAACGGCAUAGAAUUCCGGAAAUCUCUUUUAAUUGGUUCGUCUAGAAAGUGUCUCGAGUCUGCCAAUCCGAAACAUAAUUAUUCUGAAAUAUUUAUUGAAAUAGAUGCACUCCUUUCAGCUACUUCCCGCCAUUUGAAUUACCGGAAUUGAAACAGGGUCAUAUGUGCUCCUGACUACAGGAUUCGAAGUCAUUGAACGCCUCAGAAUAGUCGGCAUGUGACAAACAUCUGCAUGUAAUUGUCACAAGGGAGCUACUGCAUGGCUGAAGAAGUUCCCGGUAAUCUAUACCAGCACAAAUGAUGCUGACAUGUUUUAAAUGGAGUGAUCACGACACAACGGAUAUCUGGUGCUAUUAACAAGUGUAUGUCGGAAUUUGAAUUCCUUGCGAAUGAAUCGUGAAUAGAGAUCCAGCAGGUUUAAUCGACAGUUUGAGCUUGGACUAAUAUUUCAAGCUUUACAAAAUCUUAUCUUUAGGACCGAAAAGUUAUCGAAACGUAUAAGCCAUCUGAAUGUGUAUUAAAAGCGCAAGUACUUUUUGAGCGACGAGUGUCGGAAUUAGGCUGAUUUCACAUGAAUAUUUUCGCACACAUUUUAACAAAUGAACAGAAAGAACAAAUGUUAAUUUGAAUGAUUUUUCUUGUAGUGAUAGUAGCAAGAGCUUCGAUAAUAUCACUUCAAGCAAAUUUACUUAUGCCAAGAAGAUUCUCGAUUUCUUAGUUUUUCCUCAAGUGAGAUAAAAUGACAUCAAUCAAAACCGAGACAAAAUCGCCUGCCAUUGAUACUAGAGCAGCGAGCUAUGCAGAGAAUAAAUCUGUCGUCUAUUUGAACAAAAUUUUAAUGUGGAAUGAACUCCUUUUCCUCUCCAGCAACAACUUCUUCUUUCUAUAUGUAGAAAGUAUCUGGAUGAUCAGGAAAGAACAUCACCAAUGCGAUAUUGAUGUUGACAUGUUUUGACCGAAGUGAUCAUGCCACAGCAUACAGCCUCUGAAGCUUCUAUUAAGCGUAAAUUGGAAUUCGGAGCCUUUGGUGUUAAUUAUGUUCGGAAAAACAACCUAUGCAGUUGGUUUGUAAAAUUAUGAAUAUGUAUAUUACCAAAAAUAAUUUACUUAAUGUAUAUUUACUAUCAGAAGCUAUAUCUGUAUAGUGGAAAUGUUAUUCAAAUGUAAUGGCCAUUAUUUGAGCAUAUCAAAACAUCUUUGAACUGUCACAUAGCAUUUUAAGAACAAGAUAGUAAAUGUUUUUACAUUUUCGAAAUGUGUUGAAGCUUGAAGUGCAUGGAAUAUCAUCCAAAACAAGCGUUUGACAUACCAAUCGAUAUUUCAUCUUAAAGUUGUGUAGAAAGUUUCGUAUACCUACUUAAAGCGAUUUCAAAAUAUUGCUCUGCAUUCAUUUCCUUCAAGAGUCGUGCUUGAUUUCUACUUCUUUGAGAAACAAGCAUUUUUAAAACAAUCGAGGUCGAUAAACAUGUUCUGUGUAGAUAAAUUAAAAUUUCUGGUAUAGUUGAUUUUCCUAGAAAUAAUCUAAAUCAAAUUUCCAACAAGACUGAAAGUUUAAUUCAUUAUUAUUUCUUCAAAAUGGGUAAAAUUCGCUUUGAAGUUGCUUUAGUAACCAUAAUUUCUUAUUGGAGCUCAACAAAUUGACAAACAGGACUUUCAUUGUCCCAGCAAUAAAAGGAGGAAUCGCGGCGACUUCCGCAGAACUGUCAUUUCUUUGAAAUAAGAACUCAAAUCAUUUCAUUUGCAUUGCGCUUUCUUCUAUUGUCAAUCACUGCAACCGUUUCAUGCUAUUAAGAUUUUUUAAGAUUACUUUUCAUCACCGAUUGCUGUAACGAAGUUUGAAAAAUUGAAUUUUAUUGUUACGAGUUGAUUAACUGUAGUUCACAUCAGCAUAAGUUUUCUGUAUACUUCUCAAUUUAUCAACAAAUGUUAUAAAAAUUGUAAUCCUUUGUUUUCAUUUUGAACUGAAUGUCUAUGCUCGUGAAAGCGAUUUCAUUAUCUUGCCCAUUGCUAGAACUUAACUUCAUUUUAUGAAAUGAGUCGUCAAAUAAUUGAAUACUUUUGAUAUAUUAAUUUGUGAACAGUUCUAGUAUGAAGAAAUGUUGCUAUUCAUAAGUAUCUUAUCAUUCGUUUUUGUAAUAUUGGUCUUAAUUAUGGUAAAAAGUUUCAUGCUUAAUUUUCGGUAGAUGGCCUCGAAAUCUCUAAAUUUUCUGUAACUCUAAUACAAUAAAAUUGAAAGAUUGAAAAGAUUUUACGCUUAAAUUUUAAAUUUGAUGUUUGACUGCUGGAGCUGAAAUUUUAAAGUGAUAAAAUACAAUAAAUUUUCCCCUUUUUUCCUCUGUUAAUUUUAACAUUCGAAAAUGUCGUAAAAUGCAUAGUAUUAAUUAUUUCUGAAUAGAAAUUUAAUAGUGCAUGGUGUCGAUAUUCGUUAAAUUUAAUUUUAAUCUUUUCCGAAAAUUUACCAUAGUCUGAGAAGGUAUAUAAAA